CGUAGGGUGCAAGCGUUGUCCGGAAUUAUUGGGCGUAAAGAGCUCGUAGGCGGUUUGUUGCGUCGGCUGUGAAAUCCCGAGGCUCAACCUCGGGUCUGCAGUCGAUACGAGCAAACUAGAGUGUUGCAGGGGAGACUGGAAUUCCUGGUGUAGCGGUGAAAUGCGCAGAUAUCAGGAGGAACACCGGUGGCGAAGGCGGAUCUCUGGGCCGAUACUGACGCUGAGGAGCGAAAGCGUGGGGAGCGAACAGG
RNAcentral lists this ribosomal RNA (251 nucleotides) under uncultured bacterium. RNAcentral describes it as "partial 16S ribosomal RNA". It matches the Rfam family "Bacterial small subunit ribosomal RNA", at positions 526 to 776 of the family's 1533-position model. The record is from RNAcentral.